GGAAUAUUGGCCUGCAGAUCUGUUCAGGCCAGGACUCUUAUCACACAUGUGAAGUUUGGGGAAGAUCGGACAUUUUAUGCCUGAGUUAUAACAUCUUUUAUUCCCAUGGCGAGACAUCGAACUUCGUCGCGGCGCCAUGAACAAGCCUUUUAACGAAAAUUCAAGAUCUUCACAACUGAACAUGGCACAGGCCUUUAGAUUAGACUGACCACAAAAAAGACAUUGAUGUCAUAAAAUUUCUAGGAGUAGUUCGUCGCAGCGUAAAAUAUGUCACUUCCUGUUGCCAAUAGGUGGCGCUAUGACUAUAACUGAAUAUGGGCAUGUCAAUCUGUUCAGGUCAGGAGUCUCAUCAAACAUGUGAAGUUUGGGGCAGAUUGGUCAUUGUAUGUCUGAGUUAUAGCAACUUCCUGUUUCAUGGCGAAUCAUCGAAAUUCGUCAGGCCACCACGGACACGCCCAUUAAUGAAAACUCAAAAGCUUCGCAAUUUAACAUCGCAAAGGCCUUCAGAUUAGGCAUACCAAAUUUGGUGUUGAUCUGAAUGAAUCUCUAGGAGGAGUUCGUUAAAAUACAACGCAUGGAAAUGACAAAAAUGACACAAAAUUUGCUCAUAAUAUUAGUAAUAACCGACUUCCUGUUGGGUUUCGGAUUUUGCUCCAAGAUACUUUUUUGUAGGUAUUGGAGAGUUACAUGUGUAUACCGAUUUUCAUACAUGUACAUGAAACGUAGCUCGAGGCGCACACCGUUGAACGUGUAUAGGUGGCGCUGUUGAGCCAUUUUGCCACACCCACUUCUGAAACCCAUAUCAGACGUAAAUUUUCGCCAGUUCUGAGGUGUGUGCAAAGUUUCAUGACUUUUCGAGCAGGUUUAGGCCCUCAAAAAUGCGAUUCAUUUUGGAGAAGAAGAAUAAUAAUAAUAAUAAUAAUAAUAAUAAUAAUAAUAAUAAUAAUAAUAAUAAACGGAGCAAUUCCAAGAGGGUCCUCACACCAUCGGUGCUCGGGCCCUAAUUAAAGCUGCAAGCAGCGAUGAACGGGCCCUCGCACCCGGGCUCACCGGCAGCGAGUGGCUUUAGUUAAUAGGUGAACGGUGAGAAAUAUGCGUUUAAACUCAUAAAUAUAAGUAGAAUAUAUCAAUGUUUAUUCCAUAUAUGUGCCAAUCUUCCUGUUGCCAGCAGGUGGCGCUAUCAUUAUAAUGGAAUAUUGGCCUUCAGAUGUGUUCAGGGCAGGACUUUUAUCGAACAUGUGAGGUUUGGGGAGGAUUGGACACUUUAUGCCUGAGUUACAACAACAUCCUAUUUCAUGGCGAAACAAUGAAAUUUGUCAGGCCGCCAUGGACACGCCCUUUAACGAAACCUCAAGAUCUUCGCAAUUUAAGAUCGCAAAAGGAUUUAGAUUACACGGACCAAGUUUGGUGUUGAUCUGAAUAAAUAUCUAGGAGGAGUUCGUUAAAGUACAACCCCUGAAAAUGGCCAAAACAACAGCAAUUUUGAAGGGAAAAUUCAAAAUAACUGACUUCCUGUUGGGAUUCGGACUUCGUACCAAGAGACUUUUUCGUAGAUAUUGGUGUGUUACAUGUGUGUACCGAUUCUUGUACAUGUACGUGAAACAUAGCUCAAGGCGCACUCCGUUUAAAGUGUAUACGCACUCCGUUGAAAGUGUAUAGGUGGCGCUAUUGAGCCAUUUUGCCACACUCGAUGGAAUAUUGGCCUUCAGAUCUGU
Molecule: long non-coding RNA, 1715 nt
Organism: Carassius gibelio (silver crucian carp)
Lineage: Eukaryota; Metazoa; Chordata; Actinopteri; Cypriniformes; Cyprinidae
Exons: 3
Source: RefSeq, a predicted model, not a curated record